UUUCCGUAGGUGAACCUGCGGAAGGAUCAUUCAUAAUAAGUGUUUUCUGGCACUUUUUUAAAUCCAUAUCCACCUUGUGUGCAAUGACAGCGUUGGUUUGUUUUGAUCAACCCCAAACAUGAAAUAUUAUCUUAACUCUUUGUCUGAAAAAUAUCAUGAACAAAACAAUUCAAAAUACAACUUUCAACAACGGAUCUCUUGGCUCUC
Molecule: unclassified non-coding RNA, 207 nt
Filed under: plant metagenome
Description: partial contains small subunit ribosomal RNA, internal transcribed spacer 1, and 5.8S ribosomal RNA
Source: RNAcentral